Molecule: ribosomal RNA, 501 nt
Filed under: uncultured bacterium
Lineage: Bacteria
Description: bacterial SSU rRNA
Rfam family: Bacterial small subunit ribosomal RNA
Source: RNAcentral
AAAUGAAUAGACGGGGGCCCGCACAAGCGGUGGAGCAUGUGGUUUAAUUCGACGCAACGCGAAGAACCUUACCAGGCCUUGACAUGUUGACGAAAGGCUGAGAGAUCAGUCCCUUUUUUCGCAAGAAAGGACGUUAAUGCAGGUGGUGCAUGGUUGUCGUCAGCUCGUGUCGUGAGAUGUUGGGUUAAGUCCCGCAACGAGCGCAACCCUUGUUGUUAGUUGCCAGCACGAAAGGUGGGCACUCUAAUGAGACUGCCGGUGACAAACCGGAGGAAGGUGGGGAUGACGUCAAAUCAUCAUGCCCUUUAUGGCCUGGGCUACACACGUGCUACAAUGGCCUGCACAAAGGGAAGCGAAGGAGCGAUCUGGAGCCAAUCCCAUAAAACAGGUCUCAGUUCGGAUUGCAGGCUGCAACUCGCCUGCAUGAAGUCGGAAUCGCUAGUAAUCGCAGAUCAGCAUGCUGCGGUGAAUACGUUCCCGGGCCUUGUACACACCGCCCGU